This 208-nucleotide ribosomal RNA is filed under the name uncultured bacterium. RNAcentral's name for it is "partial 16S ribosomal RNA". It matches the Rfam family "Bacterial small subunit ribosomal RNA", at positions 568 to 773 of the family's 1533-position model. The record is from RNAcentral.
UGUGUAGGCGGUACAGUUAGUCUUUCGUAAAAGCACUGGGGCUUAACCCCGGUAAUGCGGGAGAAACGGCUGUGCUACGAGGAUGCGAGAGGUAAAGGGAACUCAUGGUGUAGGGGUGAAAUCCGUUGAUAUCAUGGGGAACACCAAAUGCGAAGGCACUUUACUGGCGCACUCCUGACGCUGAAACACGAAAGCGUGGGAAUCGAAG